GUAUUGGUAUAUCUACCAACUUCGAUAUUUAAUUGAAGUGUCCCACUACGUAGUUUUGUAAGUAAUCGAACAUCACAAAAGAAAUUUAAGUAAUUUUCAAGACAAAAAUCUGUCUUGAUUCUUCUAUACAUGCAAAGUUUUUCACAAUCACAUAAAGAUGUGGACCACUCUUGUAAAUAUUGAUCAGUAAUACGUUUUUUA
RNAcentral lists this long non-coding RNA (201 nucleotides) under Mytilus galloprovincialis (Mediterranean mussel). Lineage: Eukaryota; Metazoa; Mollusca; Bivalvia; Mytilida; Mytilidae. The record is from RNAcentral.